AUCCAGCUGACGAGUCCUAAAUAGAACGAAAUACAAGUUCUAGAU
Molecule: non-coding RNA, 45 nt
Filed under: Schistosoma margrebowiei
Lineage: Eukaryota; Metazoa; Platyhelminthes; Trematoda; Strigeidida; Schistosomatidae
Source: RNAcentral